Molecule: unclassified non-coding RNA, 89 nt
Filed under: Pseudomonas sp. bs2935
Lineage: Bacteria; Pseudomonadati; Pseudomonadota; Gammaproteobacteria; Pseudomonadales; Pseudomonadaceae
Source: RNAcentral
UGUGGGAGCGGGCUUGCCUGCGAUUGCGGUGUAUCAGCCAAUCAAUAGUUGGCUGAAUGAUCGCUAUCGCGGGCAAGCCCGCUCCCACA